RNAcentral lists this transfer RNA (26 nucleotides) under Paguma larvata (masked palm civet). RNAcentral describes it as "partial tRNA-Pro". The record is from RNAcentral. Lineage: Eukaryota; Metazoa; Chordata; Mammalia; Carnivora; Viverridae.
CAGGGAAUAGUUUAAAAAAAAUUUCA